GGGUAGGUGGAAUGUGGCUGCCCCUGCGUCAAUUGGCGUAGGGGAGGAAAGUCCGGGCUCCGGAGGACAACGUAAUGGCUAACAGCCAUCCCUCGGUGAUAAACCGGGGAGGAUUAGAGCUACAGAGACGAGCCCCCGCGCCUUGGUGCGGGGGAGUGAAACGAGCAAUCUCUACGUGGAGCAAGGUUCAAUAGGGGAUGAGCUUCGUAAAGAAAUUUAUGAGGCAGGUGCUGGUCCGGCGCGUUAUUAAUCCCGGGUAGACUGCUUGAGUCCCGGCAGAAAUGCCGAGGAACAGAGAAAUGGUCACUAAUGGUGCGGAUAUUCGUACUGAAACAGAACCCGGCUUAUUCUUCUUGCCCCAAU
This 363-nucleotide RNase P RNA is filed under the name Candidatus Omnitrophota bacterium. RNAcentral describes it as "Candidatus Omnitrophica bacterium (groundwater metagenome) RNase P RNA component class A". It matches the Rfam family "Bacterial RNase P class A". From Rfam's summary of the family: Ribonuclease P (RNase P) is a ubiquitous endoribonuclease, found in archaea, bacteria and eukarya as well as chloroplasts and mitochondria. Its best characterised activity is the generation of mature 5'-ends of tRNAs by cleaving the 5'-leader elements of precursor-tRNAs. The record is from RNAcentral. Lineage: Bacteria; Pseudomonadati; Candidatus Omnitrophota.